UACGUAGGGUGCGAGCGUUAAUCGGAAUUACUGGGCGUAAAGCGUGCGUAGGCGGUUCUCCAAGUCCGUUGUGAAAGCCCCGGGCUCAACCUGGGAAUGGCAGUGGAAACUAGGGGACUGGAAUCUGGCAGAGGGGGGGUGGAAUGCCGCGUGUAGCAGUGAAAUGCGUAGAGAUGCGGCGGAACACCGAUGGCGAAGGCAGCCCCCCUGGGCUGAGAUUGACGCUCAGGCACGAAAAGCGUGGGGGAGCAAAACAGG
This 258-nucleotide ribosomal RNA is filed under the name uncultured bacterium. RNAcentral's name for it is "partial 16S ribosomal RNA". It matches the Rfam family "Bacterial small subunit ribosomal RNA", at positions 524 to 776 of the family's 1533-position model. The record is from RNAcentral.